Molecule: ribosomal RNA, 497 nt
Filed under: uncultured bacterium
Lineage: Bacteria
Description: partial 16S ribosomal RNA
Rfam family: Bacterial small subunit ribosomal RNA
Source: RNAcentral
GAUGAACGCUGGCGGCGUGCCUAAUACAUGCAAGUCGAGCGAACGGACGAUAAGCUUGCUUCUCUGAUGUUAGCGGCGGACGGGUGAGUAACACGUGGAUAACCUACCUAUAAGACUGGGAUAACUUCGGGAAACCGGAGCUGAUACCAGAUAAUAUUUUGAACCGCAUGGUUCAAAAGUGAAAGACGGUCUUGCUGUCACUUAUAGAUGGAUCCGCGCUGCAUUAGCUAGUUGGUAAGGUAACGGCUUACCAAGGCAACGAUGCAUAGCCGACCUGAGAGGGUGAUCGGCCACACUGGAACUGAGACACGGUCCAGACUCCUACGGGAGGCAGCAGUAGGGAAUCUUCCGCAAUGGGCGAAAGCCUGACGGAGCAACGCCGCGUGAGUGAUGAAGGUCUUCGGAUCGUAAAACUCUGUUAUUAGGGAAGAACAUAUGUGUAAGUAACUGUGCACAUCUUGACGGUACCUAAUCAGAAAGCCACGGCUAACUACGUG